Long non-coding RNA from Drosophila grimshawi, 462 nucleotides. RefSeq lists it as uncharacterized. Lineage: Eukaryota; Metazoa; Arthropoda; Insecta; Diptera; Drosophilidae. The record is from RefSeq and is a predicted model, not a curated record. The transcript has 2 exons.
CAGUUUCACAAGUUUUGAUCUCCGGUAUUGGACGCAAACUUGCUGAUGUUAGUAAAAAAAAACAAAAACAAUAAAACAAAAAGCAAAACAAGAAGCAAAACGGUUGGAACAUUCCUUAAGGGAUGGUAAAGCAUUUUGUGUAAUAGAUUCCUUAUCUAAUUUGUAAAGUCUUUACUGAAUAAUCCCAGCAGAGAACUGAAGUUCUGAGUGACGAUGAUGAAAUUUGUAGAUCUGCCAACUUGCUGAUGAAUAUGAAGCAUGUCUUGGGAGAGACUCUCUGGCAAAUACAGCACUUUUAAACUGACGAUAUUUGCACUGCGUUCACAUACAUCAAAUACAAAUACACUUGUUAAUUGGACUUAUUCGAGAAACAUUUAUUGUAAAACCCAAAAGUUGGAUUCUCUUUUAUCUGAUACACCAUACACAACAAAGGAUUAUAUAAUAAAGCUUAUGUAAAAACUA